AUUGAACGCUGGCGGCAUGCCUUACACAUGCAAGUCGAACGGCAGCACGGGAGCAAUCCUGGUGGCGAGUGGCGAACGGGUGAGUAAUAUAUCGGAACGUGCCCAGUAGUGGGGGAUAGCCCGGCGAAAGCCGGAUUAAUACCGCAUACGACCUGAGGGUGAAAGCGGGGGAUCGCAAGACCUCGCGCUAUUGGAGCGGCCGAUAUCAGAUUAGCUAGUUGGUGGGGUAAAGGCCUACCAAGGCUACGAUCUGUAGUUGGUCUGAGAGGACGACCAGCCACACUGGGACUGAGACACGGCCCAGACUCCUACGGGAGGCAGCAGUGGGGAAUUUUGGACAAUGGGCGCAAGCCUGAUCCAGCAAUGCCGCGUGCAGGAAGAAGGCCUUCGGUUGUAAACUGCUUUGUUCUAGGGAAGAAAGUACUUCUGGCGUAAUACCCGGGACGGACGUGACGGUACCGUGAAGAAUAAGACACCGGCGUAACUACGUAGCCAGACAGCCGACC
Molecule: ribosomal RNA, 506 nt
Filed under: uncultured bacterium
Lineage: Bacteria
Description: bacterial SSU rRNA
Rfam family: Bacterial small subunit ribosomal RNA
Source: RNAcentral